This is a long non-coding RNA of Clupea harengus (Atlantic herring), 429 nucleotides long. Lineage: Eukaryota; Metazoa; Chordata; Actinopteri; Clupeiformes; Clupeidae. The record is from Ensembl.
ACGUGCCUUUGGAUUCAUCUUGACCAUUUUUAAGAAUGUGUUUCCAUGUGUCAAUAAAAGUGCAAUGGGUUUAUGUCGCAUCACUUCAUGGUAAUCAAUCAUAUUACUUUAAAGAGUUUUUUAAUAGGCACUGCUUAUCUGGAUUUUUCUGAGGUGACUGAGGUGGAUACCAAUACAAGAGACAUUGCUACAGUAUUUGACCAUAGUUGUUUCAUACCUGCUACAUUAAUCUUGAACACCAGUUUCUCUUUCCCAGCCUCACAGAUGAACUCUCCGGCAUCCUUCUAUCCACACUGUCCAACACCAACUGACGAGUGUUUCCUUUUGUCUCAAUGUGGAGGAUUUUACUGGAGCUCAGAAGUUUGCCAUCUUUGACCAUUUCACUUCUGUCUUUGAGUCAGAAACCUCACAGCUCAGAGUGGCUUUCUG